GCACUUGCCCUUGUUUCUUUGUGUAUUAAUCGUGAAUUUAGAGCACGGUAGUAGCACAGCAGAUUUGGGAGACAACAUUCUCUCUUCCUCCAGGGAUCACCGUCAGCAGAGACGGCAGCGAGCUUGAUGUUCUGUUGCAAAUUGCUGGAAGAAACCACCCCUGAGUUUCACAACAUCUAGCAAAUACUGGUAAUGGAAAAAGUUCCUUCUCCAAAGAAAACCCCCUCAACAAAUGAGUAUGCUUCAUGGAAUUCAGAGAGAAGAACAAUGCUCUCAAAAUCUCGAAGACAGCAAAGAAGAAGAAGAAAACUGUGUUUGGCUACUCUCGCUGAAGAGUACCUAAGAGUACUCAGCCUGAGAAAUGGGAAACAUUUACUUAUCUUUACUGAUGAAAGCAAAUCAGUGUACCGGUACAGUUAGCUGGGGUAAGGCUAGAUACAUCUCCCACACACCUCAGGAUAUCCACACCCAAAGGGAUCAGACCGGGUAAUGAAGAGGAAUGCAAUUUUAUACACUUUUUACAGUCAUAGAAAUCCAAGCACUCUCACCCCAAGUGCUCGAGGAUGCAUUGGCAAAGUAAAGCAUAUCAUAGCAUAAAAGGUCAUGUUUUGUAGGUGCAGAAACUAGAAAUGUACAGAUGUGCAGAGGGGACCUUAAACAUAAAUGUGGGUUUUGUUUUACUGUCUCUGUGUGCAUUAUAUACAUAUAAAUAAUGGCAAAUCCUG
Long non-coding RNA from Caretta caretta (loggerhead turtle), 725 nucleotides. RefSeq lists it as uncharacterized. Lineage: Eukaryota; Metazoa; Chordata; Testudines; Cheloniidae. The record is from RefSeq and is a predicted model, not a curated record.